AUGGAUCUUCGUCAGGCCGUGGCACAUCCCCGUCGGCGGCGGCAAAAGAUGAAGAUCUCUGUGAAGACCCUCACUGGAAAAACAAUUGUCAUCGAGGUGGCGUCCUCUGACACGAGUGACAACAUCAAGGACAAAAUUCAGGAGAAGGAGGGCAUUCCCCCAGACCAGCAACGACUUAUCUUUAAUGGAAGACACCUUGAUGCUGAGUGGACAGUUUCAGAUUACAAUAUUCAGGAGCAGUCCACCCUGCACCUUGUCCUGCGCCUUGGUGGUCCUUGUACCGUUUGUUGUUAUAGAUAUAUUAAUGUGCAGAUGCUCGCUGGCAAGACCGUCAGCAUCGAGGUAGAUCCAACGGACACGGUUGACACUAUCAGGGAAAAGAUUUGUGCUCCCCAGAGGCUCUUCUUUGCUGGCAAGCAGCUUGAGGAUGGACGGACAAUUGCAGACUACGAAUUUGGGAACAAUAUCAGUCUGCACCUCGACUUUGGCAUGCAGAUUUUCGUGAAGACUGCCAUUGGUAAGACCACCACUCUCCUGGUAGAGCCGUCUGACACGAUCGACAGCAUUAAGGAGAAGAUUCAGGGCAAGCAAAGGAUCAUCUUCGAUGGGAAACAGCUAGAUGGUCAGGGCACCCUUACUGAUUACAACAUUAAGAGAGGCUCCACCCUAUACCUUCGUCCCAGCAAGAAUGGUGACAUGCAGAUUCUUGUGAAGACACAAACCAGCGAAACCAUCAGGCUCAUGUUUAAACUUUCUGACACUAUUGGUGAUGUGAAGGCAAAGAUUCAGGAGAAGCAAAGGAUCAUGUUUGAGGGCAGGAAGCUAGAUGAUGGGCGGUCUACCCUUGCCGAUUAUGAUAUCCAGGAAGAGUCCAUCUUGCACCUUGACUUUGGCAUGGAGAUAUUUGUGAAGACACCCACGGGCAAGACCAUCACUCUUAACGUGGAUCCAUCUGACACAGUUGACAGCGUUAAGGAAAAGAUUCAUGGAAAUCAGAUUCUCCUCUUUGGUGGCAAGGAGCUUGAAAGUGGACAGACACUUGAGGAUUAUGAUAUCCAGGGAGGGUCAACAUUGCAUGUUGAGGAUUGUCUUACUGAAGGAUGA
This 1104-nucleotide ribosomal RNA is filed under the name Triticum aestivum (bread wheat). RNAcentral's name for it is "partial small subunit ribosomal RNA". Lineage: Eukaryota; Viridiplantae; Streptophyta; Magnoliopsida; Poales; Poaceae. The record is from RNAcentral.